This 542-nucleotide ribosomal RNA is filed under the name uncultured bacterium. Its description in RNAcentral is "bacterial SSU rRNA". It matches the Rfam family "Bacterial small subunit ribosomal RNA", at positions 376 to 912 of the family's 1533-position model. The record is from RNAcentral.
CGCAGCCUGAUCCAGCCAUGCCGCGUGAGUGAAGAAGGCCUUCGGGUUGUAAAGCUCUUUCAGCUGGAAAGAAAUCGUAUCUAUUAAUACUAGGUGCGGAUGACGGUACCAGCAGAAGAAGCACCGGCUAACUACGUGCCAGCAGCCGCGGUAAUACGUAGGGUGCGAGCGUUAAUCGGAAUUACUGGGCGUAAAGCGUGCGCAGGCGGCUUUUUAAGCCAGAUGUGAAAUCCCCGGGCUUAACCUGGGAACUGCAUUUGGAACUGGAAGGCUAGAGUGUAGCAGAGGGGGGUAGAAUUCCACGUGUAGCAGUGAAAUGCGUAGAGAUGUGGAGGAAUACCAAUGGCGAAGGCAGCCCCCUGGGUUAACACUGACGCUCAUGCACGAAAGCGUGGGGAGCAAACAGGAUUAGAUACCCUGGUAGUCCACGCCCUAAACGAUGUCAACUAGGUGUUGGGGAAGAGAUUCUUUAGUACCGCAGCUAACGCGUGAAGUUGACCGCCUGGGGAGUACGGUCGCAAGAUUAAAACUCAAAGGAAUUG